UUGAGGUCAUCUGCACCUCCUGACUGGGAGAAGAUGGUCAACAUAUUGAAAGGAGUGCUUAUAGAAUGUGACCCCGCCAUGAAGCUGUUUCUCUUGUCCUGGGAUGAGUCCAGUGCCCUGGGGAAGAAGUUCAUAAUUCAAGACAUUGAUGACACUCAUGUCUUUGUAAUAGCAGAGUUGGUUAAUGUCCUCCAGGAGCGAGUGGGUGAAUUAAUGGACCAAAAUGCAUUUUCUCUUACCCAGAAGUGAAAAUAUUAGAUAGCGACCACUUAAGAAUUAUAAGCAGCAAAUGUGAAAGCCUCACCACUCGGUAUCUUAAUGUGACUGAUUAGACUUAGAAGAUUGCUUAGGAGCCUGCUAUGGGAAAGAGUAGGGAUCGUUUGUCAAGAAAAAAUGCCUCCUGAGCUGAUUUUGUUGUACCCUAGAAUUU
Molecule: RNA transcript, 430 nt
Organism: Otolemur garnettii (small-eared galago)
Lineage: Eukaryota; Metazoa; Chordata; Mammalia; Primates; Galagidae
Gene name: general transcription factor IIH subunit 5 pseudogene
Exons: 1
Source: RefSeq, a predicted model, not a curated record